RNAcentral lists this long non-coding RNA (3809 nucleotides) under Cavia porcellus (domestic guinea pig). RNAcentral describes it as "lncRNA (ENSCPOG00000031385.1)". The record is from RNAcentral. Lineage: Eukaryota; Metazoa; Chordata; Mammalia; Rodentia; Caviidae.
GGUUAUUAGAAGUACUAGAAAAUGAUAUUUCCUUUUUGACUUUUUUCCAGAGGAGGGAGGAAAACACCAAGACGAGACUUAAGUUUGGUCUACUUCAUCAAGUACUUCCAUCUCGCAGCUGGCCAGGUUCUUUUAAUGUGCCAUUUAAGCCUCGAGUUGUAAGUCAACAAAUGGACAACAACAAAUGUUCAGCCAUCUUCCUGGUGUCAAGCCCAGCACAUUGGCAGAUUACAGGAACACACCAAAUGCAUCAACAAGUCUGUUUGAGCCAAAUAUGCUGAAGGAGGGCAGCAGCUGCCAGUUAGAUCCUCAGGAAUAGAAAUGCCCUCCGCAUCCUUGUAUCUGUUAUUGCCCCAGGUUGGGACGUGGCCGCUGGAAGAUUAGGACACUGGGAUAACAAGCUGUCUCUUUGAACUUUUCAGCUCCAGGAGCUUCACGUUAUCUAUUUGGACAGAGAUAGAACUUUUUGCUUCCUUGAAUAAUUUUUGAACCAUUCACGACAUUAGUGGUGAGCUAAAUAUACAUACACAUAAUAUAAUACAAAACCCUCCGAGGUAAGCCAUGGUAAUUUUGAAAGUGGAUCCCUUAACUGGUGGACUGUACGGCUGCUGGCGUAGUCUGAGCCUGAUGAAACCCAAUAGCAAUGCCCUUAAGGUGUGAAUCAUGGCAGCGCGGUGAGGCUGGUGAUUUACCGCUUUGGGAGGGCAUGCCUGAGUGUGAUUAAGGGCUGUGAGUGCGGGACUCCAAGAUUUACUUCCUUCCUGUUCCAGCAGGGUUACCUGAGGGAGUCCAGCCUUUCUGGGUCCCUCAGGCAGGUGAGGCGAGCCUGCAGGCAUGCUGUGGACCGCUGCAACUUGCUAGUCCCAGGGUCACAGCAAGUGGAAGUGCCGGGCACCACACAUGGCUUUGAGCAAAACCCACUUCCUCCAUCCCGGAGAGCAUGAAGCCGUUACACCACCAUCAAUCAAGGGGAACCCACGGGCUGCGCUCACACCGUUGAAGCAGGCGCCGGGCUGCGCUAUUUUGUGUUUCUUUCUUUUUUUUUUCUUUUCUUUCUUUUUUUUAAAUUCUGAAGCCAGACUGUCUUGCCUCCCAGCACCGGGGCUGCUUCGCCGUGGGCACGCCGAGCCUCCCGGUUACCUGCGUGGCUCCUGCGGCAUCUCCUGCCUGGGCUUCGCCAUAGUGCACUGGACCCGGACUCGCGAGUCUGCACCCAGCACAAGGAGGACCUGCUGGUGGAGCUCUGGCCAGGGUCUCCUCUCACCUGCUUGAGGGGACUUGGGAGCCAGGGCAAAGCUGCGGACAUCUCAGGGAGGGAUGGUAGAGGACGCAGAGGACCAGGAUGGGGAUGUUAGGAAUCCUAUGUUACCAAUGCCACCGGUGCUCUGCAGGGAGAGGACAGCUGCCUGCACCCAGCUCCGGCUGCUCUUAGGGAGUAAUCUGGAAAGACAAGCCAGGCUGAGGUGUGGUGGCCUUUCACCUGAGAGUGGAGCUGAAGAUGGAUAAACAAGGUAUCUGAUGUAUCUGCCUGGCAAGGCGGAGUUGGAGAAAAGCAGAGAGGAAUGCGUGAAGAGAAAGGAGAUGCUGACUGCUGUGUGAUUGCUGCUCACUCUGCGUUCUUAUUCUAGGGAAAAUGGCAUAAUUUAUAAGCCAGUACAUGGAUGGAGGAACUGUAAAUUGUAGUCUGGAUGUCCCCGGUGCUGUCAGAGAAGAAACUGAUGGGCUGGGUGGCUGUACUGUGUCCCCAGAGAAAACAGCUUUGCAGCAUGGAUUUAAAUGCAUGUGCGUGCAUGUAGAGACAUGGGGUGGGGAAGCGAUUUCUGACCAUUUUACACAGGAAGUCUGUCACUCUGCUGGAUCGGGUGUGAUUGCAGCUUGUGUUUUCAGUGCCAGCUUGACACCCAUCUCCUGACCAGCCAGAAAGCUCGGCCAAAGCAGCUGCAACCCGCCUCACUUUUAACUCCUUGAAGCUCUGUGCUCUGUGUGGUGCUAGGACUGAUGGAGUGGUUUUUGUUUUCUUCUUCCUCUUCUUCUACAAAUCCCUGUAAACACAGCUGUAUUCAGUAUGGAAAAAAAAUUUCUAGCCUGUAAAUAGAAAUGUGAUCAAUUUAAUCAAAAUAAAUAUAUACCAGAUGACUUCGACACCAGCUGGCUACCACAGGCUUCAGAUGCAGACUGCUCGGUAGAGAUGAACACAGCGUUAUAUUUACAUGUUUUAGAAUGCCAGGAUUAGCCUAUAAUUAAAGAAAGCAAGCCUCUUAUGAGGAAGAGAGGUGGUCCUUCCAGCUCACAGCUAGAUGGUUAGGCACAGGUGCGGAUGGCUGCCCUUCAUGUGACUGGGACGCAUGUGGUGUGGCGUUUCAGAGGGCUUGUGCCACAAGGCAGAGCAUGGCUGCCGUCAGCGUGGAGAAAGCUUGGCUCUGAGUUGCUGCUGUAGAAAGCUGAGCCUCUGCACAGUCUCUAGCGAGGCGGGGGAAAGUCACUCAGGCUUGUAGAUUCCAAACAGGGAGCUGCAGUGCCCUGUCCCAGCCUGGUGGAGUGUCACCACCCACCUGAGACAGAAAAGCUUUCGCAGUUGUCAUGGGGAGCUCAUUGGGGAUGCCUGUCUGGCCUCUCCACUGUUUGUUACCAAUUCUACAAAGGCAGUUCUGUGCUUUGGAUUUUGUUUGGCCAGCUGUUGGUGCAUUCCUGCGGGCGGGGUGGACGAGGAUCUUGUUACUGUACUUCCAAACUGUAGAUCUGUGUGCAGGCAGAGGAGGGAGGGAAGGAAAGAAGCCAGAGAGAGAGAGAAUCUGAUCGUUCAGAUGCCUUUCUCCAGAUAGUCCUAGAGUGAAUCGAGAAAGGCUUUAAAGUGAAAAGAAAGACAGAGCAAGAAGGGGACGAGAAAGGGACAAGGGAGAGAAGGAAACCGAGCAAGCCCAAAAGAGAAAAACAGAACUUCAAAGCUGCAUAGACAAGCACAAUGUCAGCAGCUUGUAAUUAGUGGUUCCUGGUUGCGUCAGUGACUACAUCUCUCCAAGAAUAACUCUGUGAUGUGUGCCACAAAGUGAAGAAGAUAGUCAUAACUAAAUUAUCAAACAGUUCAAACCAGGGCACAUGGAUUAAGGAGUUUUCUGUGUUUGUAAAUCAAAUAUGGAUGGAUUACAUGUACAGGAUUUGCUGAAUUCUGCACAACUGAAAGCUGAAUUAGCAAUGUGUGUGUGGAUAUGAGGGGUUUGUUUACUAGAUGAAAUGGGGAACUCUAAAGAUUUUUUUGUGCAAGCUCUAUCAGUGUACGAUAUUUCUCCAACUGGCCCCCCAACUGCACUGUCUGUCUCCUAUCUCUGCAUCCACAGAUUGCUUUUGUUUAUUCUUGUGCAUUUCAAUGGAGAUAAGUCAAAAGCUACAUUUGAGUAAAUAUGGACAAUGAGGUCUAAAACUCCCAUUUCAGAUUGCAAAAAUGACUACAGGGUUCUGAGUUUCAUUGGUAGCUCCAGCUUAAACCUUGAAAGAACUUUCGUUGUCCAGAAGCCAAACAGCAGUCUGUUAGUAAUUCUGGGGCAAGGCAGGGUAUUGUGGUUGUUGAGAUUUGAAGGCCACGUUCACAACCGUCCCUUGUCUCUUGUGCUUAGAGGUGUGGUGCUCUGAUAGCCUCUGCAGGAAUACAAUGGGAGGAGCUGAUUGGCUGGAAGGUUUAGGAUGUUUACUUGUAUUUGUUUUCACUGCCCCUCCAUGGCAUUCAUUGUGUAUUUGUAUUUGUGUUCAUGCUGCACAAUUACUCCUGACUGCUCUGUUUCUCUGCCCAAAGAGAAGUCAAUUUUAGUUCAGCU